AUGGCCUGGGCUCUGCUCCUCCUCAGCCUCCUCUCUCAGGGCACAGGGUCCAGGGCCCAGGCGGCCCUCACUCAGCUGCCAUCAGUGUCCGGGAACCUGGGACAGUCGGUCACCAUCUCCUGUGCGGGGAGCAGCAAUGACAUCGGGCGUUAUAAUUACGUCUCCUGGUACCAACAGCGCCCGGGCACGGCCCCCAAACUCAUGAUUUCCUACGUCAACGCUCGGCGCCCGGGGAUCCCUGAGCGCUUCUCCGGCUUCAAGUCCAGCAACACAGCCUUCCUCAUCAUCUCCGGGCUGCAGGCUGAGGACGAGGCUGACUACCACUGCUUCUCCUAUGUGGGCAGCAACACUCUCCACGGUGGUGCAUGCUCAUGGGGAAGUGAGACCAAAACCACCCAGGCGCCCGCCAUGCUCUGA
Eptesicus fuscus (big brown bat) is the source of this 417-nucleotide non-coding RNA. NCBI's taxonomy places the organism in Eukaryota, Metazoa, Chordata, Mammalia, Chiroptera, Vespertilionidae. The record is from the annotation of a RefSeq genome assembly.